UACGUAGGGUGCGAGCGUUGUCCGGAAUUAUUGGGCGUAAAGGGCUCGUAGGCGGUUUGUCGCGUCGGGAGUGAAAUCCACUGGCUUAACUGGGGGCUUGCUUUCGAUACGGGCAGACUGGAGGUAUGCAGGGGAGAACGGAAUUCCUGGUGUAGCGGUGAAAUGCGCAGAUAUCAGGAGGAACACCGGUGGCGAAGGCGGUUCUCUGGGACGGUACUGACGCUGAGACGCGAAAGCGUGGGGAGCGAACAGG
Molecule: ribosomal RNA, 253 nt
Filed under: uncultured bacterium
Lineage: Bacteria
Description: partial 16S ribosomal RNA
Rfam family: Bacterial small subunit ribosomal RNA
Source: RNAcentral